GGACAGAAAGACCCUAUGAAGCUUGACUGUAAUUUGUGAUUGGAUCUGGGCUUCUCUUGCGCAGUCUAAGUGGGAGGCAUUGAUGAAUUCUUUUCGGGGAAUUCUGAGCCGAUAUUGAGAGACCACUCUAGAAAAGUUAAGAUUCUAAAGAUAUUCCUUGAAUCAGGAUAUCUGACAGUCUCAGGUGGACAGUUUCACUGGG
This 202-nucleotide ribosomal RNA is filed under the name Pseudo-nitzschia fraudulenta. Its description in RNAcentral is "partial Bacterial large subunit ribosomal RNA". It matches the Rfam family "Bacterial large subunit ribosomal RNA", at positions 2078 to 2278 of the family's 2925-position model. Lineage: Eukaryota; Bacillariophyta; Bacillariophyceae; Bacillariales; Bacillariaceae. The record is from RNAcentral.